Molecule: ribosomal RNA, 475 nt
Filed under: uncultured bacterium
Lineage: Bacteria
Description: SSU rRNA
Rfam family: Bacterial small subunit ribosomal RNA
Source: RNAcentral
AGGACGAAUGCUGGCGGCGUGCUUAACACAUGCAAGUCGAGCGGUAAGGCUCCUUCGGGAGUACACGAGCGGCGAACGGGUGAGUAACACGUGAGCAAUCUGCCCUUCUCUUUGGAAUAAGCGUUGGAAACGACGUCUAAUGCCGAAUACGACCUCCAUUCGCAUGUUUGGAGGUGGAAAGCUCCGGCGGAGAAGGAUGAGCUCGCGGCCUAUCAGCUUGUUGGUGAGGUAAUGGCUCACCAAGGCAUUGACGGGUAGCCGGCCUGAGAGGGUGACCGGCCACACUGGGACUGAGACACGGCCCAGACUCCUACGGGAGGCAGCAGUGGGGAAUAUUGGACAAUGGCGAAAGCCUGAUCCAGCAACGCCGCGUGAGGGAUGACGGCCUUCGGGUUGUAAACCUCUUUCAGCGGGACGAAGCGAAAGUGACGGUACCGCAGAAGAAGGACCGGCCAACGUACGUGCCAGCAGCCGC